ACGCGAAGAAACCUUACCCAGGCUUGACAUGCAGAGGACAAUAUCAGACAUGAUAUCUCCCUUCGGGGCCUCUGCACAGGUGCUGCAUGGCUGUCGUCAGCUCGUGCCGUGAGGUGUUGGGUUAAGUCCCGCAACGAGCGCAACCCUUAUCAUUAGUUGCCAACACGUGAAGGUGGGAACUCUAAUGAGACUGCCUGGGUUAACCAGGAGGAAGGUGAGGAUGACGUCAAGUCCGCAUGGCCCUUAUGUCUGGGGCUACACACGUGCUACAAUGGUCGGUACAGAAGGCAGCGAAACCGCGAGGUGAAGCAAAUCCAGAAAGCCGAUCUCAGUUCAGAUUGUAGUCUGCAACUCGACUACAUGAAGACGGAAUUGCUAGUAAUGGCGAGUCAGCAACAUCGCCGUGAAUACGUUCCCGGGUCUUGUACACACCG
This 434-nucleotide ribosomal RNA is filed under the name uncultured bacterium. Its description in RNAcentral is "bacterial SSU rRNA". It matches the Rfam family "Bacterial small subunit ribosomal RNA", at positions 959 to 1392 of the family's 1533-position model. The record is from RNAcentral.